RNAcentral lists this ribosomal RNA (421 nucleotides) under Staphylococcus aureus. Its description in RNAcentral is "bacterial SSU rRNA". It matches the Rfam family "Bacterial small subunit ribosomal RNA", at positions 1033 to 1454 of the family's 1533-position model. The record is from RNAcentral. Lineage: Bacteria; Bacillati; Bacillota; Bacilli; Caryophanales; Staphylococcaceae.
GACAGGUGGUGCAUGGUUGUCGUCAGCUCGUGUCGUGAGAUGUUGGGUUAAGUCCCGCAACGAGCGCAACCCUUAAGCUUAGUUGCCAUCAUUAAGUUGGGCACUCUAAGUUGACUGCCGGUGACAAACCGGAGGAAGGUGGGGAUGACGUCAAAUCAUCAUGCCCCUUAUGAUUUGGGCUACACACGUGCUACAAUGGACAAUACAAAGGGCAGCGAAACCGCGAGGUCAAGCAAAUCCCAUAAAGUUGUUCUCAGUUCGGAUUGUAGUCUGCAACUCGACUACAUGAAGCUGGAAUCGCUAGUAAUCGUAGAUCAGCAUGCUACGGUGAAUACGUUCCCGGGUCUUGUACACACCGCCCGUCACACCACGAGAGUUUGUAACACCCGAAGCCGGUGGAGUAACCUUUUAGGAGCUAGCC